RNAcentral lists this ribosomal RNA (467 nucleotides) under uncultured bacterium. RNAcentral describes it as "SSU rRNA". It matches the Rfam family "Bacterial small subunit ribosomal RNA", at positions 26 to 518 of the family's 1533-position model. The record is from RNAcentral.
AGGACUAACGCUGGCGGCGUGCCUAACACAUGCAAGUCGAACGAACGUAGCAAUACGUUAGUGGCAGACGGGUGAGUAACACGUAGUCAACCUACCUCUAAGUGGGGGAUAACCAGCCGAAAGGUUAGCUAAUACCGCAUACGAUCGUCGAGUGGCAUCACUUGACGAUGAAAGGAGCAAUCCGCUGAGAGACGGGACUGCGUCCCAUUAGUUAGUUGGUGGGGUAACGGCCUACCAAGACUUCUAUGGGUAGCUGGCUUGAGAGAGCGACCAGCCACACUGGAACUGAGACACGGUCCAGACUCCUACGGGAGGCAGCAGUGAGGAAUUUUCCGCAAUGGGGGAAACCCUGACGGAGCGACGCCGCGUGUGGGAAGAAGGCCUUCGGGUCGUAAACCACUGUCGAAGGGGACGAUAUUGACGGUACCCUUGGAGGAAGCCCCGGCUAACUCUGUGUCAGCAGCCGC